AGGUUAAGUUAACAAGGGCGCAUGGUGAAUGCCUUGGCACUAGGAGCCGAUGAAGGACGGGACUAACACCGAUAUGCUUCGGGGAGCUGUACGUAAGCUAUGAUCCGGAGAUUUCCGAAUGGGGCAACCCAGCAGUUUUAAUCAACUGUUACCACUAGAUGAAUUCAUAGUCUAGUUGGAGGUAAACGCUGUGAACUGAAACAUCUCAUUAGCAGCAGGAAUAUAAAGAAAUUUCGAUUCCCUAAGUAGCGGCGAGCGAACGGGGAACAGCCCAAACCAAAGUGCUUGCACUUUGGGGUUGUAGGACUGAACAUUUGAGUUACCAAAGAACUUGAUAGUCGAAGGAUUUGGGAAAAUCCGCCAUAGAUGGUGAUAGCCCAGUAGAUUAAAUCAAAUUCUCUCAGUUCAGGAUCCUGAGUACGGCGGAACACGUGAAAUUCCGUCGGAAUCCGGGAGGACCAUCUCCCAAGGCUAAAUACUACCUAGUGACCGAUAGUGAACCAGUACCGUGAGGGAAAGGUGAAAAGCACCCCGGGAGGGGAGUGAAAUAGUUCCUGAAACCAUGUGCCUACAAUAAGUCAGAGCGCGUUAAUGCGUGAUGGCGUGCCUUUUGUAGAAUGAACCGGCGAGUUAUGAUCCCGUGCAAGGUUAAGACUAAAAAGUCGGAGCCGUAGCGAAAGCGAGUCUGAAAUGGGCGUUUUGAGUACGAGGUUAUAGACCCGAAACCAGGUGACCUAUCCAUGUCCAGGUUGAAGGUGCGGUAAAACGCACUGGAGGACCGAACCCGUGUAAGUUGAAAAUUGCUGGGAUGAGGUGUGGAUAGCGGUGAAAUUCCAAACGAACUUGGAGAUAGCUGGUUCUCUCCGAAAUAGCUUUAGGGCUAGCCUCGGAAUUAGGAUCAUGGAGGUAGAGCACUAUUUGGACUAGGGGCCCGUCUUGGGUUACUGAAUUCAGAUAAACUCCGAAUGCCAUUGAUUCAUAUCCGGGAGUCAGACGAUGAGUGAUAAGAUCCACCGUCGAAAGGGGAACAGCCCAGACCAUCAGUUAAGGUCCCUAAAUGUAUGCUAAGUGGAAAAGGAUGUGGAGUUGCAUAGACAACUAGGAUGUUGGCUCAGAAGCAGCCACCAUUUAAAGAGUGCGUAAUAGCUCACUAGUCGAGUGAUCCUGCGCCGAAAAUGUACCGGGGCUAAGCAUACUACCGAAACCAUGGAUGCGACCAUUAGGUCGCGUGAUAGGAGAGCGUUCUAAGGGCGGUGAAGCAAGAUCGUGAGGACUUGUGGAGCGCUUAGAAGUGAGAAUGCCGGUAUGAGUAGCGAAAGAUAGGUGAGAAUCCUAUCCACCGAAUGACUAAGGUUUCCUGGGGAAGGCUCGUCCUCCCAGGGUUAGUCGGGACCUAAGUCGAGGCCGAGAGGCGUAGACGAUGGAUAACAGGUUGAGAUUCCUGUACUAGUUAAGUGCGUUUGAGCAAUGGAGGGACGCAGGAGGCUAAGAUGUGCAUUCUGUUGGAUUAGAAUGUCCAAGCAGUAAGUCUUGUGAAGAGUCAAAUGCUUUUCACUUUAAGGACAAGCUGUGAUGGGGAGCGAAAUUUAGUAGCGAAGCGUCUGAUGUCACAUUGCCGAGAAAAGCUUCUAGUGAGUACUUAACUACCCGUACCGCAAACCGACACAGGUAGUCGAGGAGAGAAUCCUAAGGUGAGCGAGUGAACUCUCGUUAAGGAACUCGGCAAAAUGACCCCGUAACUUCGGGAGAAGGGGUGCUGAUCGCAAGAUCAGCCGCAGUGAAUAGGCCCAGGCGACUGUUUAUCAAAAACACAGGUCUCUGCAAAAUCGUAAGAUGACGUAUAGGGGCUGACGCCUGCCCGGUGCUGGAAGGUUAAAAGGAUGGGUUAGCUUCGGCGAAGCUCAGAAUUGAAGCCCCAGUAAACGGCGGCCGUAACUAUAACGGUCCUAAGGUAGCGAAAUUCCUUGUCGGGUAAGUUCCGACCCGCACGAAAGGCGUAACGAUCUGGGCACUGUCUCAACGAGAGACUCGGUGAAAUUAUAUUGUCCGUGAAGAUGCGGACUACCCGCGACAGGACGGAAAGACCCCAUGGAGCUUUACUGUAGCUUGAUAUUGAGUGUUUGUACAGCUUGUACAGGAUAGGUAGGAGCCAUAGAAACCGGAACGCUAGUUUCGGUGGAGGCGUUGGUGGGAUACUACCCUCGCUGUAUGACCACUCUAACCCGCACCACUAAUCGUGGUGGGAGACAGUGUCAGGUGGGCAGUUUGACUGGGGCGGUCGCCUCCUAAAAAGUAACGGAGGCGCCCAAAGGUUCCCUCAGAAUGGUUGGAAAUCAUUCGCAGAGUGUAAAGGCACAAGGGAGCUUGACUGCGAGACAGACAGGUCGAGCAGGGACGAAAGUCGGGCUUAGUGAUCCGGUGGUACCGUAUGGAAGGGCCAUCGCUCAACGGAUAAAAGCUACCCUGGGGAUAACAGGCUUAUCUCCCCCAAGAGUCCACAUCGACGGGGAGGUUUGGCACCUCGAUGUCGGCUCAUCGCAUCCUGGGGCUGUAGUCGGUCCCAAGGGUUGGGCUGUUCGCCCAUUAAAGCGGUACGCGAGCUGGGUUCAGAACGUCGUGAGACAGUUCGGUCCCUAUCCGUCGCGGGCGUAGGAAAUUUGAGAGGACCUGUCCUUAGUACGAGAGGACCGGGAUGGACAUACCUCUGGUGUACCAGUUGUGCCGCCAGGCGCAUCGCUGGGUAGCUACGUAUGGAUGUGAUAAACGCUGAAAGCAUCUAAGUGUGAAACACACCUCGAGAUGAGAUUUCCCAUUCCUUUAUGGAAGUAAGACCCCUGAAAGAUGAUCAGGUAGAUAGGUUAGAAGUGGCAGUGCGGUGACGCAUGAAGCGGACUAAUACUAAUCGGUCGAGGACUUAACCAAG
This 2923-nucleotide ribosomal RNA is filed under the name Lactiplantibacillus plantarum. Its description in RNAcentral is "bacterial LSU rRNA". It matches the Rfam family "Bacterial large subunit ribosomal RNA". The record is from RNAcentral. Lineage: Bacteria; Bacillati; Bacillota; Bacilli; Lactobacillales; Lactobacillaceae.